RNAcentral lists this ribosomal RNA (497 nucleotides) under uncultured bacterium. RNAcentral's name for it is "partial 16S ribosomal RNA". It matches the Rfam family "Bacterial small subunit ribosomal RNA", at positions 28 to 507 of the family's 1533-position model. The record is from RNAcentral.
GAUGAACGCUGGCGGCGUGCCUAAUACAUGCAAGUCGAGCGAACAGACGAGAAGCUUGCUCCUCUGACGUUAGCGGCGGACGGGUGAGUAACACGUGGAUAACCUACCUAUAAGACUGGGAUAACUUCGGGAAACCGGAGCUAAUACCGGAUAAUAUAUUGAACCGCAUGGUUCAAUAGUGAAAGACGGUUUUGCUGUCACUUAUAGAUGGAUCCGCGCCGCAUUAGCUAGUUGGUAAGGUAACGGCUUACCAAGGCAACGAUGCGUAGCCGACCUGAGAGGGUGAUCGGCCACACUGGAACUGAGACACGGUCCAGACUCCUACGGGAGGCAGCAGUAGGGAAUCUUCCGCAAUGGGCGAAAGCCUGACGGAGCAACGCCGCGUGAGUGAUGAAGGUCUUCGGAUCGUAAAACUCUGUUAUUAGGGAAGAACAUAUGUGUAAGUAACUGUGCACAUCUUGACGGUACCUAAUCAGAAAGCCACGGCUAACUACGUG